AACACUGAGGCAUAGAGAUUAUACCAGCUGGGCUAGCGAGUGACCGGGGGAAGCCUCCAGAUCCAUGCACACAACCGCCAGGUUUAUGACACCUCUAGAAAUGUGGCCAGUGCCCCUGGGGUCUAUCAGCAACUCUUGCUAGACCAGCAGAGCCCUAAAAAAGAAGACAACAGUCUCCCAGCAAAAUGUUGCAAGCAGCACAGGCUCAGGAAUGGACAGACUGGCAGGCAAGAUACAGCAAGAAGGCAGCAGUCUGCACACCAGGAGGAGAGUCCUCACCAGAACCCAGCCCUGCCACACCCUGAUCCUGGACUUUCAGCCUCCAGAGCUGUGAGAAAUAAAUGCCUGUUGUUUCAGCA
Molecule: non-coding RNA, 359 nt
Filed under: Pan troglodytes (chimpanzee)
Lineage: Eukaryota; Metazoa; Chordata; Mammalia; Primates; Hominidae
Source: RNAcentral